RNAcentral lists this ribosomal RNA (342 nucleotides) under uncultured Gemmatimonadota bacterium. RNAcentral's name for it is "bacterial SSU rRNA". It matches the Rfam family "Bacterial small subunit ribosomal RNA", at positions 97 to 437 of the family's 1533-position model. Lineage: Bacteria; Pseudomonadati; Gemmatimonadota. The record is from RNAcentral.
GGCGGACGGGUGCGUAACACGUGAGGAACAUGCCUAUCGGCGGGGGAUAGCCGGCCCAACGGCCGGGUAAUACCGCGUACGCUCACCGGGGGGCAUCCCCUGGUGAGGAAAGCAGCAAUGCACCGAUAGAGUGCCUCGCGGCCUAUCAGCUAGUUGGUGAGGUAAUGGCUCACCAAGGCAACGACGGGUAGCUGGUCUGAGAGGAUGAUCAGCCACAUUGGGACUGAGACACGGCCCAGACUCCUACGGGAGGCAGCAGUGGGGAAUCUUGCGCAAUGGCCGAAAGGCUGACGCAGCGACGCCGCGUGUGGGAUGACGGCCUUCGGGUUGUAAACCACUGUC